This is a long non-coding RNA of Herpailurus yagouaroundi (jaguarundi), 553 nucleotides long. RefSeq lists it as uncharacterized. NCBI's taxonomy places the organism in Eukaryota, Metazoa, Chordata, Mammalia, Carnivora, Felidae. The record is from RefSeq and is a predicted model, not a curated record. The transcript has 4 exons.
UUCCAAUUUCUUUUAUAGGACCAAAAACCUGUAAAGCGCAGAAAGGUGACCUCAUAUCCAAGGGAUAAAAGCAUCAAGAGGUUGACAAAGAUGGUGACAUAUCAGGCUUCUGAAUUCAACUCCUCCCACAGACACACCCAAUGGAUAGCUACCCAUGGAGCAGUUACAUCUGAAAGAGAUCCAGAAACCAGCUGAACAACUCCUACAUUUCGGCCUUGUGGACUCAGACCAAAACAUGGCUCUUCUUGGAUUGCAAGCCUACCGGAACUACAAUUCAGCUCUCUUGGGUCUCCAAGUCUCCAGCUUAUGACCUGUGUAUCUUGAAACUUCUCAGCCUCUAUAAUCACUAUAAUCAUAAGUCUCUGAGGAAGAUCUGAAAAGAUCAGGUUCCUCAUUAUGAAACUCUUCAGCAGGAAAACCUUCUCCAAAAUCCCCAGUGAUCUUAUACAUGUUCUACAUGAAGAAGUCACCAUUUAGAUGCCGGCCAUUACCCAUCUCGUUGAAAGCCAAGAGGAUUACAAGACCACUAAUUAAGUAAAAUGACUUCUGCCCA